RNA transcript from Zea mays, 1498 nucleotides. It is a transcript of the gene named photosynthetic electron transport 2, with no coding region annotated. The transcript is spliced from 7 exons. NCBI's taxonomy places the organism in Eukaryota, Viridiplantae, Streptophyta, Magnoliopsida, Poales, Poaceae. The record is from RefSeq and is marked validated.
CUGUAAUGUACUGUAUGCGUUCGGCGACGCGACGCGCACGGCGCACCAUUCCGCGGCCACGAAGAGCACAAUCCUGUUCGCCACGCCAUGCCUCUCCACGCCCGCGCACCGCCGCUCCGCCACUCCCACCUUCUACUCACCGCCGCCACCGCUCGGCUCCGCCCGUGCGCAGCGCCAGCGACCAAGCCCCGCCGCCGCUCCCUCGUCCUCGUCCGCGCCUCCAGCUCGGACCCUCCGCAGCAGCAGCUCAACCUCUCCGUGCUCCGCUUCACCCUCGGGAUUCCGGGGCUGGACGAAUCGUACCUCCCCCGGUGGAUAGGCCUCGGUUUCGGCGCGCUCGUCGUGCUCAACCACCUCCUCUCUGCGUCCCCGACGCCCGCGCAGCUCAGGUCCGAGGCUGUGGGGCUGUGCCUGGCCGCGUUCUCGGCGACGCUGCCGUUCCUGGGGAGGUUCCUUGAGGGCGCUGAUGCUGCCAGCCGAGUGCCGUUGCCCGAGGGGAGCAUCCAAGUAUUCGUCAUGUCUGAGAACCUGUCAGCUGUGCAGAAGGAGGACAUGGCGUGGGCGUCGUACGUCCUGCUCCGGAACACAAACACCACGUCUGUGGUCAUAGCAAUUGGGGAUCUCUUGUGCGUACGAGGAUACUGGAAUCCACCUGCAAAUACUUCAAAAUAUUCCACGAUCGAGUGGUUCAAAAGUCAGAUGCAGCAACUAGGACUUGUUGAUUUGAGGGGUGCUUUAUACUUCCCUAAUUCGUCAGGAAAGUUUCUCUUACGCUGUCAAUCAUGCUACUCUGACCAGAUUCUCAGCUUGCGAAGAUUCUGCCAGAUGGGAUUCUUUCUGUGCUAGCGCAACCUAUUCUGAGUCCUGAUCCAGCUAAUAAUGAAACAAAAACUGAAGGUGUCAUCCUGUUGGCCUGCAAUGCAAAUUAUGCAUAUAGUGAGAAAGAUAGGGCUUGGAUAAGAACAGUUGCAGACAAAUUUCAACGUGCUUAAUUUAGAGGUACCAAAGAAAUGUUGACAGUCAGGCAGUACUGGAAAAUGGACCGGGAAAGAUUGGGGAGUGUAAAGUAGACUGACUGGUCCAAGAAGGAUUUGGAGUCUUGGCAACGUGGACUGAGCAGAAUAAGAGAGUUUUGCAGUUGGGAGGAAAUCAGCAUUAAGCUACUGUUUAUUAGGGUUGGCGCUAGUUGAAGCAAAAUAGUCCAGCAAUAGUUUGUUCAGUUGGCUAGAGACUAUGUGGUGAUGUGUUUGGUUUGUCUCUGUGCCUCUUGCUUUGGUAUGUAUGUCUGAUUGGAUUUGGCAUUGAAGCAGAAAGGCUGCUCCAGAGAUUAGUGACAUGUGCAAAGUAGCAAUGCUGUCAUAAUUUACGCAUACUCCAGCCCAAUUGAGGCAGUUGAUCACCUGGCUGCAUUUAUAUAAGCAGUAAAAGCAUUUUUAGUUCAAAGUGUUGUCACAUUUAAGAUUGCAAAUACUGCUGAUCAAUCACAUUCCUUCAUAUA